UUUAACUCCAUCCCUUCUUCCAAUCACCGACGACUCUUCCCUUUCUAGUUUCAAAUUCCCAUUCUUCCUUAAAUCACUCAUCGACGGAAAAACUCCAUUCGCCAUUGUAAUUAGAAGUAAAGACUAAAAACGGAAACUCACCAUCACAACCUAUUUAGAAGUAAAGAUCAUAAAUUGAAACCGAUAAGGUUCGAACCACCAGUUCCACCCUCUUCGUCGCUGUGAAUUUGAUAUUGUUCGAUUUUAGUGUAGAGAUAAACAUUCAAAUAUGAUAUGGUUCGAUUUCGAUUUUGCAUCUUAUUUUCAAUUGCUUAACAUAGAUUUUGAGUUCCCUUUAAUGUGGUUCCCGAUUUGUUUAAUAUGAGUUCAACUAGGUUUAACCUGGUGAAGAUAUGGAUGUGUAAUGGUUCAUCGAUUUGUUUUUUAGGAAUGUUGGUUUUGUUAGACUACUGAACAAGGUAUGAUAUGCUUGUCUAUGUUAGUUUUUCUGAACUACUUUUGGUGUAUAAAUAAGAAACUAAAAAUGACAGUGAUGAGUGGUGAUUGAAGAGGGUGGGAAGGGAAGAGGUAUUGAUGGUGUUUGAUUUGAUAAGGGGUGCCAUGGGAGAAAAGGUGGUGGUCGGAGGCUUUGGGAUAUCAUGAUACAGAAAGCGAUGAAGGUGGACGGAUGGACUAAAAUGGAAAAUGAAAAAAAAUACAGGGACCAUCUAUGUAAUUUUGUUUUGCUUAAAACGCUACACGCUUCCUGAACCCUCGAGCACAACUAAACCCUAGAGAUUCCGUCGCCGAAACCGGUUCUUCCUGUCGCAGACUCCAUAACAGAGCACCGAAGGCUCAUGUAGCCUUGCGAGUCUGUUCAGGACAUUGAUUCCUGGAUGCGGUAAUAUCCAGUUAUCUGUGUAUGAAUCUCUAUUUAUACAAAGCUCGGAAUGGAAUCGAUAUUUUUUUGAUAAAUUCUGAUAACAUUCUUCACUUUCUUACCUCUCCAUAAUCUUCGAUCGAUUUGAAAUGUUUUCAUUACUUGUCUUUGUGGGGAUUCUUCUGUGCGUUGUCGAACAGAACAUGUAGCUGUUUGAAAAAGAAAAUUAAGAUUAUUGCAUCGGAGUUAACUCAGGGGCAUCAAUUCUCUGUUUUGAAUUAAAAUAAACAUUUUGUUUUUGGUAUUCAAAAUAAAAUCCAUGAUUGAGAUUAUUUUGUGUUGAGAAGGUGUUUUGUUUUCUUUCACAGGCAUCUUUUUGCUGCAAUUUAUAUGCUUCGGUUUAGCAUAACAAGAGCAUAUGCAUACUUUCCUUUUUAUAUUUGCUUCCAUUUUGUUGACCUAAUCAUGUAAUUAUUUCAACAUCCCCAUGAUGAAAUAUUUAGUAAUCUGAAUGUGUACAUGUUAUUGGAAAUGUGGUGCUCCCUUCUGCUUCCUAUAAGCAUAAGGUAGAGGAAUCACAAUUUCACAACUACAUGUCAGGCUGAUAAUAGGCAUUCUGAGGGAUAUACAUAUAUCUAUCAUAUCUUAUGGUAUUCUGCCUUUUAUUGUAUUUAAAAUCAGGAUUCUUAUAAUUGUAGUUAUUUAUCUAUUCAUUGUUGUUGCAACCUUUUCCUAGAUUCUAGGCUAUGGUAAUGUAAGUGAUUUGCUAAAAAAGCAUAUCAUUUUUGUGUAUAUGACAAAAAAUGUUGUGUUGAAUCAACUUCGUUUCUGUAUUUUCUCUUUAGGGAUCUAUUGAACUAUUUGUGUUCAUUCCCUAUAUCACUAAGCAAAAACAAACAAACAAACAAGGUUGAAGUUGAUGAAAAUAUGAAAUCAACACAUAAUAUUCAUUUAAUGGAUGGUAGUUAUUUCGGGAGCUAUGAUAAACAUGAUCUAGGUCAGUUAGAUAGUUUUGAUUGUUCUAAUCAUCUGAUCAUGUAAAAAAGAUUGUCUUAAAAGUUACUAAAUAAAGUUUAUUAACGAUUACAUAUAUUAAUUGAAUAUGUAUUUAACAAUUUGCUUGGAUAUAAUUGGCGGUAUCGGGUGACAUUCUUCAAUCUUCAUCGCCAACUCUUUCUUUUGUUAAUAAUUUCAUGUUGUUUGAGAAAAUAAAGUGAUUUUUACGACAGUAAUAUCCAAAACCAAAUCCAUGGUUAGAUUAUAAAUACUCAAAAGUUUAUAUUUAUUUUGCGAACACAUAAGGUGUUAUUAGUGAUUGUCUGUUGAUUAAACAUAAAAUAUGUUGCCC
Molecule: long non-coding RNA, 2207 nt
Filed under: Lactuca sativa (garden lettuce)
Lineage: Eukaryota; Viridiplantae; Streptophyta; Magnoliopsida; Asterales; Asteraceae
Description: long non-coding RNA (LSAT_LNC003428)
Source: RNAcentral